This 1371-nucleotide ribosomal RNA is filed under the name uncultured bacterium. Its description in RNAcentral is "bacterial SSU rRNA". It matches the Rfam family "Bacterial small subunit ribosomal RNA", at positions 28 to 1381 of the family's 1533-position model. The record is from RNAcentral.
GAUGAACGCUGGCGGCGUGCCUAAUACAUGCAAGUCGAGCGAACGGACGAGAAGCUUGCUUCUCUGAUGUUAGCGGCGGACGGGUGAGUAACACGUGGAUAACCUACCUAUAAGACUGGGAUAACUUCGGGAAACCGUAGCUAAUACCGGAUAAUAUUUUGAACCGCAUGGUUCAAAAGUGAAAGACGGUCUUGCUGUCACUUAUAGAUGGAUCCGCGCUGCAUUAGCUAGUUGGUAAGGUAACGGCUUACCAAGGCAACGAUGCAUAGCCGACCUGAGAGGGUGAUCGGCCACACUGGAACUGAGACACGGUCCAGACUCCUACGGGAGGCAGCAGUAGGGAAUCUUCCGCAAUGGGCGAAAGCCUGACGGAGCAACGCCGCGUGAGUGAUGAAGGUCUUCGGAUCGUAAAACUCUGUUAUUAGGGAAGAACAUAUGUGUAAGUAACUGUGCACAUCUUGACGGUACCUAAUCAGAAAGCCACGGCUAACUACGUGCCAGCAGCCGCGGUAAUACGUAGGUGGCAAGCGUUAUCCGGAAUUAUUGGGCGUAAGCGCGCGUAGGCGGUUUUUUAAGUCUGAUGUGAAAGCCCACGGCUCAACCGUGGAGGGUCAUUGGAAACUGGAAAACUUGAGUGCAGAAGAGGAAAGUGGAAUUCCAUGUGUAGCGGUGAAAUGCGCCGAGAUAUGGAGGAACACCAGUGGCGAAGGCGACUUUCUGGUCUGUAACUGACGCUGAUGUGCGAAAGCGUGGGGAUCAAACAGGAUUAGAUACCCUGGUAGUCCACGCCGUAAACGAUGAGUGCUAAGUGUUAGGGAGUUUCCGCCCCUUAGUGCUGCAGCUAACGCAUUAAGCACUCCGCCUGGGGAGUACGACCGCAAGGUUGAAACUCAAAGGAAUUGACGGGGACCCGCACAAGCGGUGGAGCAUGUGGUUUAAUUCGAAGCAACGCGAAGAACCUUACCAAAUCUUGACAUCCUUUGACAACUCUAGAGAUAGAGCCUUCCCCUUCGGGGGACAAAGUGACAGGUGGUGCAUGGUUGUCGUCAGCUCGUGUCGUGAGAUGUUGGGUUAAGUCCCGCAACGAGCGCAACCCUUAAGCUUAGUUGCCAUCAUUAAGUUGGGCACUCUAAGUUGACUGCCGGUGACAAACCGGAGGAAGGUGGGGAUGACGUCAAAUCAUCAUGCCCCUUAUGAUUUGGGCUACACACGUGCUACAAUGGACAAUACAAAGGGCAGCGAAACCGCGAGGUCAAGCAAAUCCCAUAAAGUUGUUCUCAGUUCGGAUUGUAGUCUGCAACUCGACUACAUGAAGCUGGAAUCGCUAGUAAUCGUAGAUCAGCAUGCUACGGUGAAUACGUUCCCGGGUCU